AGACCCGAAACCCGGUGAUCUAGCCAUGGGCAGGUUGAAGGUUGGGUAACACUAACUGGAGGACCGAACCGACUAAUGUUGAAAAAUUAGCGGAUGACCUGUGGCUGGGGGUGAAAGGCCAAUCAAACCGGGAGAUAGCUGGUUCUCCCCGAAAGCUAUUUAGGUAGCGCCUCGUGAAUUCAUCUCCGGGGGUAGAGCACUGUUUCGGCUAGGGGGCCAUCCCGGCUUACCAACCCGAUGCAAACUGCGAAUACCGGAGAAUGUUAUCACGGGAGACACACGGCGGGUGCUAACGUCCGUCGUGAAGAGGGAAACAACCCAGACCGCCAGCUAAGGUCCCAAAGUCAUGGUUAAGUGGGAAACGAUGUGGGAAGGCCCAGACAGCCAGGAUGUUGGCUUAGAAGCAGCCAUCAUUUAAAGAAAGCGUAAUAGCUCACUGGUCGAGUCGGCCUGCGCGGAAGAUGUAACGGGGCUAAACCAUGCACCGAAGCUGCGGCAGCGACACUCAGGUGUUGUUGGGUAGGGGAGCGUUCUGUAAGCCUGCGAAGGUGGCCUGUGAGGGUUGCUGGAGGUAUCAGAAGUGCGAAUGCUGACAUAAGUAACGAUAAAGCGGGUGAAAAGCCCGCUCGCCGGAAGACCAAGGGUUCCUGUCCAACGUUAAUCGGGGCAGGGUGAGUCGACCCCUAAGGCGAGGCCGAAAGGCGUAGUCGAUGGGAAACGGGUUAAUAUUCCCGUACUUGGUGUUACUGCGAAGGGGGGACGGAGAAGGCUAUGUUGGCCGGGCGACGGUUGUCCCGGUUUAAGCGUGUAGGUGUGUGUUCCAGGUAAAUCCGGUUCACUUUAACACUGAGGCGUGACGACGAGGCACUACGGUGCUGAAGCAACAAAUGCCCUGCUUCCAGGAAAAGCCUCUAAGCAUCAGGUAACGUCAAAUCGUACCCCAAACCGACACAGGUGGUCAGGUAGAGAAUACCAAGGCGCUUGAGAGAACUCGGGUGAAGGAACUAGGCAAAAUGGUGCCGUAACUUCGGGAGAAGGCACGCUGACACGUAGGUGAAGUGAUUUACUCACGGAGCUGAAGUCAGUCGAAGAUACCAGCUGGCUGCAACUGUUUAUUAAAAACACAGCACUGUGCAAACACGAAAGUGGACGUAUACGGUGUGACGCCUGCCCGGUGCCGGAAGGUUAAUUGAUGGGGUCAGCGCAAGCGAAGCUCCUGAUCGAAGCCCCGGUAAACGGCGGCCGUAACUAUAACGGUCCUAAGGUAGCGAAAUUCCUUGUCGGGUAAGUUCCGACCUGCACGAAUGGCGUAAUGAUGGCCAGGCUGUCUCCACCCGAGACUCAGUGAAAUUGAACUCGCUGUGAAGAUGCAGUGUACCCGCGGCAAGACGGAAAGACCCCGUGAACCUUUACUAUAGCUUGACACUGAACAUUGAGCCUUGAUGUGUAGGAUAGGUGGGAGGCUUUGAAGUGUGGACGCCAGUCUGCAUGGAGCCGACCUUGAAAUACCACCCUUUAAUGUUUGAUGUUCUAACGUGGACCCGUGAUCCGGGUUGCGGACAGUGUCUGGUGGGUAGUUUGACUGGGGCGGUCUCCUCCUAAAGAGUAACGGAGGAGCACGAAGGUUGGCUAAUCCUGGUCGGACAUCAGGAGGUUAGUGCAAUGGCAUAAGCCAGCUUGACUGCGAGCGUGACGGCGCGAGCAGGUGCGAAAGCAGGUCAUAGUGAUCCGGUGGUUCUGAAUGGAAGGGCCAUCGCUCAACGGAUAAAAGGUACUCCGGGGAUAACAGGCUGAUACCGCCCAAGAGUUCAUAUCGACGGCGGUGUUUGGCACCUCGAUGUCGGCUCAUCACAUCCUGGGGCUGAAGUAGGUCCCAAGGGUAUGGCUGUUCGCCAUUUAAAGUGGUACGCGAGCUGGGUUUAGAACGUCGUGAGACAGUUCGGUCCCUAUCUGCCGUGGGCGCUGGAGAACUGAGGGGGGCUGCUCCUAGUACGAGAGGACCGGAGUGGACGCAUCACUGGUGUUCGGGUUGUCAUGCCAAUGGCACUGCCCGGUAGCUAAAUGCGGAAGAGAUAAGUGCUGAAAGCAUCUAAGCACGAAACUUGCCCCGAGAUGAGUUCUCCCUGAGACUUAGAGUCUCCUGAAGGAACGUUGAAGACGACGACGUUGAUAGGCCGGGUGUGUAAGCGCAGCGAUGCGUUGAGCUAACCGGUACUAAUGAACCGUGAGGCUUAACCUUACA
Molecule: ribosomal RNA, 2242 nt
Filed under: Salmonella enterica
Lineage: Bacteria; Pseudomonadati; Pseudomonadota; Gammaproteobacteria; Enterobacterales; Enterobacteriaceae
Description: partial 23S ribosomal RNA
Rfam family: Bacterial large subunit ribosomal RNA
Source: RNAcentral